This 823-nucleotide non-coding RNA is filed under the name Eudocima phalonia. Lineage: Eukaryota; Metazoa; Arthropoda; Insecta; Lepidoptera; Erebidae. The record is from RNAcentral.
AAAUAAAAAUUUUUAUAGUUUGAAUAAUUUAUUUAAAGUUUAUUUUACAUACAAAUUUUAGUGUUGAAUUUUAUUUUAUUUUAAUAAUAAAUUUAUUUAUUUAAGUAGUAAUUAAUAUUAAAAAUAUAAGUAAUUAAGAUUUAGUAAUAUUAAAAUUAAUAACAAAUUUUGUGCCAGCAGUUGCGGUUAAACAAAUAUUAAAUUAAAUUUUAUUAGUUAAUUAAUAAAUAUAAUAUUAAUAUAAUGUAAAAUUUAAAUUAUUAGGUGAAAUUUUAAUUUAAUAAAAAUUUAUUUUAUUUAUAUGAUUUAAUAAAUUUUAUAAUAAACUAGGAUUAGAUACCCUAUUAUAAAAAUUUUAAAAUUAAAUACUAAAAUAGUAGAUAAUUAUUUAUUGAAACUUAAAUAAUUUGGCGGUAUUUUAGUUCAUUUAGAGGAAUCUGUUUAAUAAUUGAUAAUCCACGAAUAAAUUUACUUAAUUUAAAAUUUUGUAUAUCGUUGUUAAAAAAAUAUUUUAUAAUAAUAAUAAUAUUUUAAAAUUUAAAUUAAAAAUUAAAUCAGAUCAAGAUGCAGAUUAUAAUUAAGAAUAUAAUGGAUUACAAUAAUUUUUAUUUAAAUGAAUAUUAAUUUGAAAAAAUUAAUUGAAAGUGGAUUUAAAUGUAAUUUUAUUUAAUUUAAUAAAAUGAUUUAAAAUUAAAAUAUGUACAUAUUGCCCGUCGCUUUCAUAUGAUUAUAAUAAAAUAAUAUAAAUUAUAUAAUUUUAUUUAUAAUAAAGUUGAAAUAAGUCGUAACAAAGUAGAGGUACUGGAAAGUGUUUCUAGAAAGA